GGGCAUGUAGCGCAGUUGGUAGCGCGCUCGCUUAGCAAUUGUACUACGUCAGAUUACGUAAGAAAGCUGCGAGAGGUCUUGGGUUCAAUUCCCAACCUGUCCA
RNAcentral lists this transfer RNA (103 nucleotides) under Rhizoctonia solani 123E. It matches the Rfam family "tRNA". Rfam says of the family: Transfer RNA (tRNA) molecules are approximately 80 nucleotides in length. Their secondary structure includes four short double-helical elements and three loops (D, anti-codon, and T loops). Lineage: Eukaryota; Fungi; Basidiomycota; Agaricomycetes; Cantharellales; Ceratobasidiaceae. The record is from Rfam by way of RNAcentral.